UUCCCAGCUGAACAACAGCAAGUAAGGACGUGACCGUGUCAAGUACCGACCUAACAACAUGCUAAUCCUUACGGAAUUCUGAAAUUAUGUCCAACUCACCGAACCUUUCUCGCCUGGUUCCCCUUCAUCGCCCUGCAGGAAAGAGGAAACUUCAAACGUUACGGUCUUGACUCACAGAUUCUCUAUCAGCAAGUCAGUCAUUCAAUUCUCUAAAUGAGAUUCAGCCACAAAUAACUCUUUUGAAUUACGUACUACGUCCCCUUUUUCUCCUGGAGCGCCCUCUUCACCAGGUGCUCCCUAAAGACAAGCACAGAGCAUUUUCAGAUGAAGAUGCUACAGAUAAACAGAUAAAUGAUGCAUCUUGACGCUACGUUCUAGAAAGACGGAUAAUACAGGCCUACCUGCUCGCCUUUUGGACCAGUGAGACCGACUGCACCCUGAUACCGAUCAGAAAAAGCAGAGAAUCUUCUCGGACGGGGGAUUUUUUUGCGCUUUCCAGCUUCUCAGUAACACGACGAGCCGCGUUAUAUAUUUUAUAUAUAUUUUUUUGUCUUAUUGACUUUCAGAGAGCCAAUUAACUACUGUACAUCACAAUCUACAAUAUCGUGAGUGAGAACAGGAACUAAUUUGUUUCACAAUGGAAUGUUCCACAACAUUAACUAAACUGUUUUUUUUUUUUUAAAUUGUGUUAUUUAUGAAUAAAUUAAACAUUGUAAUCAUUGGCUGUGGUCUAAGAGAAACACACACACCUCAGGACUGCUGUUAUAGGAAAACAAUCCACUGUGAGGUGGUAAAUCACACCAGCUCGACAUGGAUCCUUUACCUAUAACAACAUACCCUGCAGUGUUCUAUUCAUAUAUAUAUAUAUAUAUAUA
Ictalurus punctatus (channel catfish) is the source of this 875-nucleotide long non-coding RNA. RefSeq lists it as uncharacterized. Lineage: Eukaryota; Metazoa; Chordata; Actinopteri; Siluriformes; Ictaluridae. The record is from RefSeq and is a predicted model, not a curated record. The transcript is spliced from 2 exons.